CGGGUGGUAGUGGUAAAGAAGAGGCCAGGUGGGCCCCGUGGGCUUACGGGCGAGUCUAGAAAGGGUUGAGGGCCCGAAAAGUGCGUCUCUCUCUGUCGAGAGCUGCCGACGGUAUACCCCGCGCCGGAGAGGAGGCCUUGUGAGUUUUUUAUUACCUUUUUUAUAUCGAGUUCUGAAAGUGCUAUCAAAAUAACGAUCGGAAUUUUGAGCCUUCAAAUAUCGCAAUGGCGCGCGGUUAAACGUCCCGAUAUGGAGAAAACACCAGUUAGGUAAGGGCAAACAAUUCAGCUACAAUUGUGCUUAAGCCAAUUUGCUUAAGAGUCGGCCGGUCGCUUGCUUGUUGCAUGAUGAAAUCGAAUCAACGCCGCGUUCCGUCGGACGGUAUCGCAAUUUUUGAAAUGGCGAAUGUUCGAAUGGCACGCGAACUUUUCCGCUAUUAUCUUCAGCUACCUUAUCAGCCGUGACUAUAACAAGCGCUCUUAAUUCGAUGACUCACGGCGCGACUACAAUUGCACGUACUUUCCCAUUCACCGACUUCAUUCGCAACAAAAAUUCGUCAGUCAGUCAAUAAAGAGAAGGGAGAGACAGAUAAAAGAAAAAGAAAGAUAUAUAUGCAGGCGCCUCCUUCGUCUCUUCACGGAUCAGGUGUAACGAUCGAGCGCGAGCGUGUCUCGGAAUUAGGGAUCGGUGACGUAAGGGACAACAUUUGAAAAUCACGAAGCAGCUCACACCCCGAUCUUCCUCCCGUGAGACAAUCUCACCCUUCCUCUCGAUGCCGCUUCCAAUCCCACUCCUUUCGCCUCCUCCUCCUCCUCCUCCACCAUACCACAUUAUUUUUCUACCUUCCUCCUCACCCUCUCUUUCCUUCGCUCCUUUCUAACUGUCAUCGUUCCGCGAGGUGGUCAACAACGAUCGUACUUGCACCUUUCUCACAGCGCGCGACGCAGGUUUAGUCAUCCCUUCUUUUCACGUCCCUUUCACUCGUGCAAACGAGCGAGAGGGACGGCGAAUCGCCCGGGAAAGAGAGGCCGCCGCGAAAGGCAAAGGGAGAAGCAGCGAGGAACGUCAAGAGAGAGAAUGAGAGAGAGAGGGCGGGAGAGAGGGAGAUGAAGAAAGAGCCGGUACGACGACGACGGCGAUGACGACGACGAUGUGGUGAACGCAGGGCGAAGGGGAAAAGGAGGAAGGAGAAAGAGAACACGGAGCGCGAGAAGUAGAAAGACCGAGAUCCAGUUUGAACGUAUAAACCGUGCGGAUUCUACAGUGGAUAUCGCGAAUUGCACCAGCGAACGCGCUUAAUGUGGAUGACGAUAUUUCUCGGCCAUUUUUUAAAUAUUUCUGCAUAUCAUUAAUAUCAUAUCAGUUAAAUACAUGAGUUUAAUACAAUUAUGUAUUAAACAUAUCAGUUUAAUACAAUUUUAAUAAAUUUAUAUGUAAAUUUAUAUGUAAAAUAUUAACGAAAAUUUCGACUUAAUAAAAGUAAUACUACUGUGUCCAAAAAGUAAGACCAGUUUUUAUUUAUUUCAAAAAAUAUUUAUUCUUCUAAAUCUAUUUCGUCGCCUUCAAAGUAAUCUCCUCCCGACACAAUACACUUGUGCCAACGUAUUUUCUAGUCCUUGAAACAAGAAUUAAAGUCGCCUUCCGGGGUGGCUUUCAGAACGCGUAGCGAUUCACGUUGUAUCUUUUCUAUCGUCUCAAAACGAUUUCCCCGCAAUGGUCUUUUGAGUUUCGGAAAUAGCCAGAAG
Molecule: RNA transcript, 1745 nt
Organism: Odontomachus brunneus
Lineage: Eukaryota; Metazoa; Arthropoda; Insecta; Hymenoptera; Formicidae
Exons: 3
Source: RefSeq, a predicted model, not a curated record